RNAcentral lists this long non-coding RNA (255 nucleotides) under Homo sapiens (human). Its description in RNAcentral is "non-protein coding lnc-LDB1-3:1". Lineage: Eukaryota; Metazoa; Chordata; Mammalia; Primates; Hominidae. The record is from RNAcentral.
AGAAAAGCGAACAGAUGAUAUCUCUGUUUGGGACCAGGAAUUCCUGAAAGUUGACCAAGGAACACUUUUUGAAUUUAUUCUGGCUGCAAACUCCUGAGACAUCAAAGGUUUGCUUGGUAUUACAUGCAAGACCAUUGCCAAUACUAUCAAGGGGAAAGCUCCUGAGGAGAUUUGCAAGAAUUUCAACAUCAAAAAUGACAUUACUGAAAAGCAGGAAGCCCAGGCACACAAAGAGAACCAGUGAUGUGAAGAGAA